Molecule: long non-coding RNA, 1770 nt
Organism: Solea solea (common sole)
Lineage: Eukaryota; Metazoa; Chordata; Actinopteri; Pleuronectiformes; Soleidae
Exons: 3
Source: RefSeq, a predicted model, not a curated record
GAUCACGUGCGGCUCCACCAUGUCGGGACAGGCUGCUCAGUUUCCACCGGCUGACAUGAGAAGUACCAACAAAGGCCUGAAGAUGUUUGCACAACGAUAGGAAAAGAGGCUCUCUCUCUCCCUCUCCCUCUCUCACACACUCACACACCCUCCAGGAUCUUAGGAAAGAGCGUCUCCUGUGCAGUUAAAGGAUGUGGAGAAGGAAGUGGAACAACUGCUCGAGCUGCUAUAAACCAGUCGCCACCCAACUGACUGCUGACAGGCUGACUGACUUGUUAACAGACAGGUUGUAUCUCUCCAUAUAGAACCCGUUCAUGCAUAAUUUUACAUCUCAUUCUCAUUACAAAACCAAUAAAAACCGAGCCGUAACCAUUUAACAGCCUUUUAAUAACAGAAAAAACAGGGUUCAAAAGGUCUGCACCUUUUAAACUGUAUCCUCUCAUGUUUCAAAUAUUCAGUCCUCACAAACAGAUGUACACACGGGUGCAUGUCUAAAUUACCUGGACCACACCUCGCUCUCCCAGUGUGGUGCAUGUGUGUGUGCCACAACAAAACAUUCCUCAAAGUCGGAGUUGCUCAACUCCUGAUGCGUGAUAACAUUUUAUGAACAGGCUAAAACUCUACAUACCUGUGCUGCUCGGAAAUAAUGAGCGAUAAAUGUGACCCCCUCUGUAGAUAAAACUUUUAUCCACCUCACACUGAUGCUGAAGUGUAACCUUUAAAGCUGCAGUAUGUAACUUUCAAUUAUGUUUUUUUUUGUUGUUCAUGUUGUUUUUCUGCCUCUGGUCUUUGUGACACAAGAGCUGUAACAUUGCCGUGUCCUUUAUCUGUCGAGCAAAACUAUCAGACCUGACUGAAGGAGCGGCAACCUGCCGUCUAGCAGAGCGUGUCAUCUUGUCAAGCUGCCAAGCAGUUUUUUAAGCAGUACUUUUCGUGCUUUCAGUCUUACUCCAACCUGUUUGCAGCUGUUGGAGUAGUGCAAUGUUGCUGUUGCCUCUAUUUGUCUUGACAUAAAACUAUAUCCUUCCUGUUUGCAGUACGGGUGGGAAUCUUUAGGUGCCUCACGAUACGAUUAUGAUUGGAUUAUAAAACGAUCGGGGAUGCAUCUUGAUGCACUUUCACUCAGUGUUUUGAGAGUCUUUGUCUCACUGUGUGAUCACUCACCACUUACCCACCCCUAUUUUUUUUUUCUAGCAACAGUGUAUUUGUGAUGAGAAACAAGAGUUUAAUUCAUUUCCAUUAUCUUUUAUUAAACUUGUUAUAAACUGGAGAGUUACAACUACAUUGUAUAAAAUAACAUCUUGAAUCACAAUUCACAUAUUUAAGACAAAUAUGUUUAACAGCUCAGCAUCAUUAUCACCCGCGUGGCUCUCAUUCAUUGCUCUUGUUUGGAGCACAUGUGACAUUAGCCUCCAGUCAUCGGUGAUAAAGUGCGUCGUUAUAGUGACAUAAGAUUGACUUCUGUUUUGGUUUUGUUGUCAAGUGUCGGGGAUCGACAUGUCAGUGGAAUAGCGUUGUUGUAUCUCGUCUAUUUCACGUUACUUAACAUUUAAAUAAUAUGAUUUUAGACAUUUGUGAAUCGAUUCAGAGUCGUCCAUGUCCAAAUCACAAUCCAUCUAAGAAUCAAUGUUUUUCCCCAUGUGGUGACACCAGCUCUAAACUAUAGCUACACUGAAAAACAUACUUUUUCAGUAUUCAUGAUUGUGUGAACUCAAAUGACCAUGGUUUGAAUGUAACAGACAUUUGUUUAUAUUUAAGAGUUACACACUA